This 233-nucleotide ribosomal RNA is filed under the name uncultured bacterium. RNAcentral's name for it is "partial 16S ribosomal RNA". It matches the Rfam family "Bacterial small subunit ribosomal RNA", at positions 332 to 563 of the family's 1533-position model. The record is from RNAcentral.
UUGACCUACGGGAGGCAGCAGUGAGGAAUAUUGGUCAAUGGGCGGAAGCCUGAACCAGCCAAGCCGCGUGAGGGAAUAAGGCCCUACGGGUCGUAAACCUCUUUUGCCGGGGAGCAAGGGCGGGGACGUGUCCCGGCCCGGAGAGUACCCGGAGAAAAAGCAUCGGCUAACUCCGUGCCAGCAGCCGCGGUAAUACGGAGGAUGCGAGCGUUAUCUGUCUUUAUUGGGUUUAA